RNAcentral lists this long non-coding RNA (299 nucleotides) under Vitis vinifera (wine grape). RNAcentral describes it as "long non-coding RNA (VVIN_LNC006676)". The record is from RNAcentral. Lineage: Eukaryota; Viridiplantae; Streptophyta; Magnoliopsida; Vitales; Vitaceae.
UUGCUGCUCUGGUAGAGUUUCUUCAGCCCUAGAAGCUCCUUCCAUCGGCUGGAACACCUCGGAGCCUUCGGAGAGAAGAGGUACGGGUCCGUACACGACACCUCAGUUCUCCGACGAGAUUUUGCCGUCUCGGGUGACCUAAUCUCCGACGACGGUAUUGAAGCCACUGAUGGACGGAUCACAGAAACCUGCAGAGGAACAAGUUUGCCGUCGGAGAACAGCUCAUCCGCUGGAAGCAUCGCCACCGGAUCUUCAAGUCUGAACUCAAAAUCACCUACGUCCUUGCCGGAAACAUCCGG